RNAcentral lists this ribosomal RNA (497 nucleotides) under uncultured bacterium. RNAcentral's name for it is "partial 16S ribosomal RNA". It matches the Rfam family "Bacterial small subunit ribosomal RNA", at positions 28 to 507 of the family's 1533-position model. The record is from RNAcentral.
GAUGAACGCUGGCGGCGUGCCUAAUACAUGCAAGUCGAGCGAACAGACGAGGAGCUUGCUCCUCUGACGUUAGCGGCGGACGGGUGAGUAACACGUGGAUAACCUACCUAUAAGACUGGGAUAACUUCGGGAAACCGGAGCUAAUACCGGAUAAUAUAUUGAACCGCAUGGUUCAAUAGUGAAAGACGGUUUUGCUGUCACUUAUAGAUGGAUCCGCGCCGCAUUAGCUAGUUGGUAAGGUAACGGCUUACCAAGGCAACGAUGCGUAGCCGACCUGAGAGGGUGAUCGGCCACACUGGAAGUGAGACACGGUCGAGACUCCUACGGGAGGCAGCAGUAGGGAAUCUUCCGCAAUGGGCGAAAGCGUGACGGAGCAACGCCGCGUGAGUGAUGAAGGUCUUCGGAUCGGAAAACUCUGUUAUUAGGGAAGAACAAAUGUGUAAGUAGCUAGGAACGUCUUGACGGUACCUAAUCAGAAAGCCACGGCUAACUACGUG